RNAcentral lists this ribosomal RNA (253 nucleotides) under uncultured bacterium. RNAcentral's name for it is "partial 16S ribosomal RNA". It matches the Rfam family "Bacterial small subunit ribosomal RNA", at positions 524 to 776 of the family's 1533-position model. The record is from RNAcentral.
UACGUAGGGUGCAAGCGUUGUCCGGAAUUAUUGGGCGUAAAGAGCUCGUAGGCGGUCUGUCGCGUCGGCUGUGAAAACCCGGAGCUCAACUCCGGGCCUGCAGUCGAUACGGGCUAGCUAGAGUGUGGUAGGGGAGAUCGGAAUUCCUGGUGUAGCGGUGAAAUGCGUAGAUAUCAGGAGGAACACCUGCGGUGUAGACGGCUUUCUGGACCAUUGCUGACGCUGAGACACGAAAGCGUGGGUAGCAAACAGG